Prunus avium (sweet cherry) is the source of this 375-nucleotide non-coding RNA. NCBI's taxonomy places the organism in Eukaryota, Viridiplantae, Streptophyta, Magnoliopsida, Rosales, Rosaceae. The record is from RefSeq and is a predicted model, not a curated record.
ACCAACUGGAUUGAAAUGCUAUUUCUGCAGAAAGUUUGGACACAUGAAAAGGAACUGCACAAGGUACCAGAGGUGGUUAGAAAAGCAAAAGAACAAAGGCAAAGGUGAAGGGGUUCAUAACCAAGAGGCCACCAAACAAGGAUGAGGUGAAGGUGUUCGUAGGAAAUGGAGUCAAAGUACAAGUGGAGUUCAUUGGAGCAGUUAGGAUUCAACUAGAUUCUGGUUUUGUUUUGGAUUUGGUAGAUGUAGUAUAUGUUCCUUCUAUGACAAGGAACCUUAUUUCAGUUGCUAGGCUUGUAAAAUCAAAGCUCACUUUGAGUUUUGAUGAAUUUGGUAUUUCAAUUUUCAAUAAUAAAGAGUUAGUUGGCAAUGGAA